RNAcentral lists this ribosomal RNA (261 nucleotides) under uncultured archaeon. Its description in RNAcentral is "partial 16S ribosomal RNA". It matches the Rfam family "Archaeal small subunit ribosomal RNA", at positions 748 to 1009 of the family's 1478-position model. The record is from RNAcentral.
CAGCCGUAAACUAUGCUCGCUAGGUGUCAGGCAUGGCGCGACCGUGUCUGGUGCCGCAGGGAAGCCGUGAAGCGAGCCACCUGGGAAGUACGGCCGCAAGGCUGAAACUUAAAGGAAUUGGCGGGGGAGCACAACAACGGGUGGAGCCUGCGGUUUAAUUGGACUCAACGCCGGACAACUCACCGGGGACGACAGCAGUAUGUAGGCCAGGCUGAAGACCUUGCCUGAAUCGCUGAGAGGAGGUGCAUGGCGUAGACGUCU